Molecule: ribosomal RNA, 419 nt
Filed under: uncultured eukaryote
Lineage: Eukaryota
Description: bacterial SSU rRNA
Rfam family: Eukaryotic small subunit ribosomal RNA
Source: RNAcentral
CAAUAGCGUAUAUUAAAGUUGUUGCAGUUAAAAAGCUCGUAGUUGGAUUUCUGGCAGGUUUUCAAGGUCCGCUUGUUGCGUGUGCUGCGAAACCCUACCAUCCAUCUGUUAACUCCUCGCGGACUUUACUGGCCGGUGGAGGGCUCAGAUAUUUUACCUUGAAAAAUUAGAGUGUUUAAAGCAGGCUAUUGCCUUGAAUACAUUAGCAUGGAAUAAUAAUCUAGGACUUCGGUUCUAUUUUGUUGGUUUCUAGUACUGAAGUAAUGAUUGAUAGGGAUAGUUGGGGGUGGCUAGUAUUGACCGGCCAGAGGUGAAAUUCUUGGAUUCGGUCAAGACUAACUUAUGCGAAAGCAUUCACCAAGGAUGUCUUCUUUAAUCAAGAACGAAAGUUGGGGGAGUCGAAGACGAUCAGAUACCAU